This 448-nucleotide ribosomal RNA is filed under the name Parvimonas micra. RNAcentral describes it as "bacterial SSU rRNA". It matches the Rfam family "Bacterial small subunit ribosomal RNA", at positions 28 to 459 of the family's 1533-position model. Lineage: Bacteria; Bacillati; Bacillota; Tissierellia; Tissierellales; Peptoniphilaceae. The record is from RNAcentral.
GACGAACGCUGGCGGCGUGCUUAACACAUGCAAGUCGAACGUGAUUUUUGUGGAAAUUCUUUCGGGAAUGGAAAUGAAAUGAAAGUGGCGAACGGGUGAGUAACACGUGAGCAACCUACCUUACACAGGGGGAUAGCCGUUGGAAACGACGAUUAAUACCGCAUGAGACCACAGAAUCGCAUGAUAUAGGGGUCAAAGAUUUAUCGGUGUAAGAAGGGCUCGCGUCUGAUUAGCUAGUUGGAAGGGUAAAGGCCUACCAAGGCGACGAUCAGUAGCCGGUCUGAGAGGAUGAACGGCCACAUUGGAACUGAGACACGGUCCAAACUCCUACGGGAGGCAGCAGUGGGGAAUAUUGCACAAUGGGGGGAACCCUGAUGCAGCGACGCCGCGUGAGCGAAGAAGGUUUUCGAAUCGUAAAGCUCUGUCCUAUGAGAAGAUAAUGACGUAU